AUACUUACUUGGCUGGGGAGACACCUUGAUCAAGAAGGAGGUACUCCCACGAUAAAGCUAUCCCAUUGCACUUCGGGCCUGCUGAUGCCUGUCAUGUCCCCAAAUGCGGGAUACUCAACUGCAAACCUGUGGUAGUGGGGGACUGCAUUCAUGCUCUCCUCUC
Chiloscyllium plagiosum (whitespotted bambooshark) is the source of this 163-nucleotide small nuclear RNA. RefSeq annotates it as U1 spliceosomal RNA. NCBI's taxonomy places the organism in Eukaryota, Metazoa, Chordata, Chondrichthyes, Orectolobiformes, Hemiscylliidae. The record is from RefSeq and is a predicted model, not a curated record.